Molecule: transfer RNA, 53 nt
Filed under: Yersinia enterocolitica subsp. enterocolitica 8081
Lineage: Bacteria; Pseudomonadati; Pseudomonadota; Gammaproteobacteria; Enterobacterales; Yersiniaceae
Source: RNAcentral
AAUAUGGUGCCCGGACUCGGAAUCGAACCAAGGACACGGGGAUUUUCAAUCCC